UACGAAGGGUGCAAGCGUUAAUCGGAAUUACUGGGCGUAGAGCGUGCGUAGGUGGUUUUUUAAGUCUGCUGUGAAAGCCCUGGGCUCAACCUGGGAAUGGCGGUGGAUACUGAAAAGCUAGAGUGCGGUAGAGGAGGGUGGAAUUCCCGGUGUAGCGGUGAAAUGCGUAGAGAUCGGGAGGAACAUCAGUGGCGAAGGCGGCCCUCUGGACCAGCACUGACGCUGAGGCACGAAAGCGUGGGGAGCAAACAGG
RNAcentral lists this ribosomal RNA (253 nucleotides) under uncultured bacterium. RNAcentral's name for it is "partial 16S ribosomal RNA". It matches the Rfam family "Bacterial small subunit ribosomal RNA", at positions 524 to 776 of the family's 1533-position model. The record is from RNAcentral.